This 429-nucleotide ribosomal RNA is filed under the name Acidobacteriota bacterium. RNAcentral's name for it is "Acidobacteria bacterium partial 16S ribosomal RNA". It matches the Rfam family "Bacterial small subunit ribosomal RNA", at positions 355 to 776 of the family's 1533-position model. The record is from RNAcentral. Lineage: Bacteria; Pseudomonadati; Acidobacteriota.
UGGGGAAUUUUGGACAAUGGGGGAAACCCUGAUCCAGCCAUCCCGCGUGUGCGAUGAAGGCCUCCGGGUUGUAAAGCACUUUUGGCAGGAAAGAAACGUCAUGGGUUAAUACCCCGUGAAACUGACGGUACCUGCAGAAUAAGCACCGGCUAACUACGUGCCAGCAGCCGCGGUAAUACGUAGGGUGCAAGCGUUAAUCGGAAUUACUGGGCGUAAAGCGUGCGCAGGCGGUUCGGAAAGAAAGAUGUGAAAUCCCAGAGCUCAACUUUGGAACUGCAUUUUUAACUACCGGGCUAGAGUGUGUCAGAGGGAGGUGGAAUUCCGCGUGUAGCAGUGAAAUGCGUAGAUAUGCGGAGGAACACCGAUGGCGAAGGCAGCCUCCUGAGAUAACACUGACGCUCAUGCACGAAAGCGUGGGGAGCAAACAGG